GAUGAAGAACGUAGCGAAAUGCGAUAAGUAAUGUGAAUUGCAGAAUUCAGUGAAUCAUCGAAUCUUUGAACGCACAUUGCGCCCCCUGGUAUUCCGGGGGGCAUGCCUGUCCGAGCGUCAUUACAACCCUCAAGCUCAGCUUGGUGUUGGGCCCCGCCGCCCCGGCGGGCCCUAAAGUCAGUGGCGGUGCCGUCCGGCUCCGAGCGUAGUAAUUCUUCUCGCUCUGGAGGUCCGGUCGUGUGCUCGCCAGCAACCCCCAAUUUUUUUCAGGUUGACCUCGGAUCAGGUAGGGAUACCCGCUGAACUUAAGCAUAUCAAUAACGGAGGA
RNAcentral lists this unclassified non-coding RNA (328 nucleotides) under soil metagenome. RNAcentral describes it as "partial contains 5.8S ribosomal RNA, internal transcribed spacer 2, and large subunit ribosomal RNA". The stretch from base 1 to 120 matches the Rfam family "5.8S ribosomal RNA", at positions 35 to 154 of the family's 154-position model. The record is from RNAcentral.